Ictalurus punctatus (channel catfish) is the source of this 329-nucleotide long non-coding RNA. RefSeq lists it as uncharacterized. NCBI's taxonomy places the organism in Eukaryota, Metazoa, Chordata, Actinopteri, Siluriformes, Ictaluridae. The transcript is spliced from 2 exons. The record is from RefSeq and is a predicted model, not a curated record.
CAACCCGCAUUACUAUAUAGAGUGGCUAACAGUCAGGCUAACUGCUUUCCUUCGCGGCAAAAUCUACCAUUUGCAGUUGAUGCCCAUGCAGGUAUGAACGGAACAACACUCACUACUCCAGGCGCUUGUCACCGAGCGCAGCGCGAGCUCCAGUCGCCACUUCCGAUCAAGGAUAAUCACAAAGAAAUUCACAUUCAGGUCGCUUCCGUGUACAUCUAUGAAUCUGGUCAAGGGUGGCUGAAAUAACUGUUAUUUAAAUAAUAAAAAGGAUAAAGUAAAAUAAAACAACGCGUUUGAUUUAACUGUAAAGAGAAUAAUACAGGAACUGG